This 485-nucleotide ribosomal RNA is filed under the name uncultured bacterium. RNAcentral describes it as "partial 16S ribosomal RNA". It matches the Rfam family "Bacterial small subunit ribosomal RNA", at positions 27 to 507 of the family's 1533-position model. The record is from RNAcentral.
GAUUGAACGCUGGCGGCAGGCCUAACACAUGCAAGUCGAGCGGAUGAAGGGAGCUUGCUCCUGGAUUCAGCGGCGGACGGGUGAGUAAUGCCUAGGAAUCUGCCUGGUAGUGGGGGAUAACGUCCGGAAACGGGCGCUAAUACCGCAUACGUCCUGAGGGAGAAAGUGGGGGAUCUUCGGACCUCACGCUAUCAGAUGAGCCUAGGUCGGAUUAGCUAGUUGGUGGGGUAAAGGCCUACCAAGGCGACGAUCCGUAACUGGUCUGAGAGGAUGAUCAGUCACACUGGAACUGAGACACGGUCCAGACUCCUACGGGAGGCAGCAGUGGGGAAUAUUGGACAAAGGGCGAAAGCCUGAUCCAGCCAUGCCGCGUGUGUGAAGAAGGUCUUCGGAUUGUAAAGCACUUUAAGUUGGGAGGAAGGGCAGUAAGUUAAUACCUUGCUGUUUUGACGUUACCAACAGAAUAAGCACCGGCUAACUUCGUG